CCUACGGGAGGCAGCAGUGAGGAAUAUUGGUCAAUGGCCGGAAGGCUGAACCAGCCAUGCCGCGUGAAGGUCAGUGCCCUAUGGGCGUUAAACUUCUUUUGUGCGGGAGCAAUAAUGGUCACGUGUGGCCAGACGAGAGUACCGUACGAAUAAGCAUCGGCUAACUCCGUGCCAGCCGCCGCGGUAAUACGGGGGAUGCAAGCGUUAUCCGGAUGUACUGGGUUUAAAGGGUGCGUAGGCGGGGAGGUAAGUCAGCGAGCAAAUGCCCGCGCUCAACGGGGGGGAGUGCCAUUGAUACUGGCUUGCUGGAAUGCGGAUGCGGUGGGAGGAAUGUGUGGUGUAGCGGUGAAAUGCAUAGAUAUCA
RNAcentral lists this ribosomal RNA (364 nucleotides) under uncultured bacterium. Its description in RNAcentral is "partial 16S ribosomal RNA". It matches the Rfam family "Bacterial small subunit ribosomal RNA", at positions 338 to 699 of the family's 1533-position model. The record is from RNAcentral.